CAGUUAAGCAGGAGCUCUCUGGCAUAAAAUUGAAAAGCAGUGUGGCUGCAGCUUGUUGAAAAAGAGAUCAGACAAGCAUGAGAGCAGACAGGUAGAUGAAAUGAAAAAAUACUGUCUUGGGUGACUCUCUUCAGUGAUAGGAGGGAAAGUGACAAGACCUAACUGAAGAGAUAAAUGUAUGGAAAAUUCUCAGAUCAUCUGGCAGAGGAAAGCUGAAGUGGACCAGAGAGAAUGCAUGAUUCCCAUUUCUGCUGAAUUACCCAGUAUAUGUGACACAGAAGACAACUGAAGACAGCUCUGAGAGACCAGUUCAGUGCUUUGCUUUAUGUGGAUAAGGUUUUGGAUGGGAUUUACUGCAACAUGACCAAUGCCUAAAAAAACCCCCAUUAAUAUCACAAUUUUGAACAAGAGAAUAAUUAAAAACUUGGUUGCAAACUGGUAAAAAUGGAGGACAAUUGUACACCAUGCAAAUGAAAUGAAAACCUCGUGUUUUUAUUUAACA
Long non-coding RNA from Parus major (Great Tit), 502 nucleotides. RefSeq lists it as uncharacterized. NCBI's taxonomy places the organism in Eukaryota, Metazoa, Chordata, Aves, Passeriformes, Paridae. The transcript is spliced from 3 exons. The record is from RefSeq and is a predicted model, not a curated record.